UGGGGAAUAUUGGACAAUGGGCGCAAGCCUGAUCCAGCCAUGCCGCGUGAGUGAUGAAGGCCUUAGGGUUGUAAAGCUCUUUCGCCGGUGAAGAUAAUGACGGUAACCGGAGAAGAAGCCCCGGCUAACUUCGUGCCAGCAGCCGCGGUAAUACGAAGGGGGCUAGCGUUGCUCGGAAUCACCGGGCGUAAAGCGCACGUAGGCGGAUCGUUAAGUCAGGGGUGAAAUCCUGGAGCUCAACUCCAGAACUGCCCUUGAUACUGGCGAUCUCGAGUUCGAGAGAGGUUGGUGGAACUCCGAGUGUAGAGGUGAAAUUCGUAGAUAUUCGGAAGAACACCAGUGGCGAAGGCGGCCAACUGGCUCGAUACUGACGCUGAGGUGCGAAAGCGUGGGGAGCAAAACAGGAUUAGAUACCCUGGUAGUCCACGCCGUAAACGAUGGAUGCUAGCCGUUGGGGGGUUUACCUCUCAGUGGCGCAGCUAACGCCUUAAGCAUCCCGCCUGGGGAGUACGGUCGCAAGAUUAAAAACUCAAAUGAAUUGAC
This 543-nucleotide ribosomal RNA is filed under the name uncultured bacterium. RNAcentral describes it as "partial 16S ribosomal RNA". It matches the Rfam family "Bacterial small subunit ribosomal RNA", at positions 355 to 914 of the family's 1533-position model. The record is from RNAcentral.